Long non-coding RNA from Carassius auratus (goldfish), 1247 nucleotides. The record is from Ensembl. Lineage: Eukaryota; Metazoa; Chordata; Actinopteri; Cypriniformes; Cyprinidae.
UGCUGGAAUCUGCCUCCCAGCCUUUGUGAACAGGAUGACCAAAGACAAGAGGGAGAUUUUGCAGAUGGCCAGAGCUAUAAAUAGCACAGAUUUGUUUCUCUCACACACACAGACGCGCUGGUGUCACCAGCAGCAGCUGGUGGAGGGAGUUGAGCAGAGCCCUUCUAAAGCCCUGCUGCAGAGGCCAUGUGGACACUUUAAAGCUCUUCUCUGCAGCCUGUGAAGUUGUAAAGGAGCUCUGCAACACUGGCGACUGGCGCUGUGAAUUUCAUGCCAGCUGUAGCGCACAGCCCCCCUCCUUCUGUUUCUGUCUCUUUCUGUCUCUUUUCUUUCAUUCUAUCCAUCACUGCGCUCUCUCUGUGGCAGUAGACAUCCCUUUGCACUUCUGUCAUGGCCAGCCGGACUCAGGAUUUGCACGGCUCUGUGCUUAUGCGUAAUAGUGAAGCCCAUCUGGCUACAGGAGGGAUUUUUACCUGUGCUCAGUAUUGAGAGCUGUUCUUGCAUAUCAGACACAGUGGCCCCUUUACACCUGGAAUUAACAUGUGAUUUGCAUCUGGAUAGAACUUAAGCCUAAAUAAAAAAAAAAAUAAAAAAAAAAUAAAAAUAAAAACUGUAAUUGUGACUUUUGUCACACUUUAGCUUGGGGAUCAGUUCUCACUAUUAAUUAACUUUUAACUAUGAGUUUUGCCUCAUUAAACUCCUGAUUUGCUGCUUAUUAAUAGUUAGUAAGAUAGAUGAGAUGUUUAGGUAUGGGGUAGGAUUAAAGGAUCUAGAAUAUGGUCAUGCAGAAUAUGUACUUAAUAAGUAAUAAUAAACAACCAAUAUGCAUGCUAUUAAGCAACUAGUCAAUACUGAGAACUAGUCACUGAACUCGUGUGUUCCUGUGACUUUUCAUCUCACAAUUCAGUUUCAGCCUUCAAAUUUUGUCAUUUUUUUUUAAGAAAUCCAAUUAAAUAAUAUUUUGUGGCUCUUUUAUGACAUUAAAGAUCGCUGUAGUGCUUUCCUCUUUGCUAGCUGUAGUGCAAAAUAAACAUGAAUGAACAUCAGAAGGUAUUUUAUUUCAAACGUUGAAAGAAGUCAAUGCACAUCAUUUUUUAAAUUCAAGACCACCGACGUCUGUCUGACAAAAUUGUUUGUCUGACAAAAUAAACAGAUUCAGCAUUAUAAUUGGUCAAAUCACCUGUCAAUCAAACUCCCUGUGAAGGGUCAAUUGCCAGUUACAAAGUCAGAAUAUUAGGAUAAAAACC